This 489-nucleotide ribosomal RNA is filed under the name uncultured bacterium. RNAcentral's name for it is "partial 16S ribosomal RNA". It matches the Rfam family "Bacterial small subunit ribosomal RNA", at positions 28 to 506 of the family's 1533-position model. The record is from RNAcentral.
GAUGAACGCUAGCUACAGGCUUAACACAUGCAAGUCGCAGGGUAACAUGAGGAAAGCUUGCUUUCCUUGAUGACGACUGGCGCACGGGUGAGUAACGCGUAUCCAACCUUCCCAUAACUACGGGAUAACCCGUUGAAAGACGGCCUAAUACCGUAUGAUAUCGUUUGCUGACAUCAAAUAACGAUUAAAGGUUUAGCGGUUAUGGAUGGGGAUGCGUCUGAUUAGCUUGUUGGCGGGGUAACGGCCCACCAAGGCGACGAUCAGUAGGGGUUCUGAGAGGAAGGUCCCCCACAUUGGAACUGAGACACGGUCCAAACUCCUACGGGAGGCAGCAGUGAGGAAUAUUGGUCAAUGGGCGAGAGCCUGAACCAGCCAAGUAGCGUGCAGGACGACGGCCCUAUGGGUUGUAAACUGCUUUUAUGUGGGGAUAAAGUGCGUGACGUGUCAUGCAUUGCAGGUACCACAUGAAUAAAGACCGGCUAAUUCCGU